GAUGAGUAGGGCGGGACACGUGGUAUCCUGUCUGAAUAUGGGGGGACCAUCCUCCAAGGCUAAAUACUCCUGACUGACCGAUAGUGAACCAGUACCGUGAGGGAAAGGCGAAAAGAACCCCGGCGAGGGGAGUGAAAAAGAACCUGAAACCGUGUACGUACAAGCAGUGGGAGCACAGGUUUACCUGUGUGACUGCGUACCUUUUGUAUAAUGGGUCAGCGACUUAUAUUCUGUAGCAAGGUUAACCGUAUAGGGGAGCCGAAGGGAAACCGAGUCUUAACCGGGCGUUAAGUUGCAGGGUAUAGACCCGAAACCCGGUGAUCUAGCCAUGGGCAGGUUGAAGGUUGGGUAACACUAACUGGAGGACCGAACCGACUAAUGUUGAAAAAUUAGCGGAUGACCUGUGGCUGGGGGUGAAAGGCCAAUCAAACCGGGAGAUAGCUGGUUCUCCCCGAAAGCUAUUUAGGUAGCGCCUCGUGAAUUCAUCUCCGGGGGUAGAGCACUGUUUCGGCUAGGGGGCCAUCCCGGCUUACCAACCCGAUGCAAACUGCGAAUACCGGAGAAUGUUAUCACGGGAGACACACGGCGGGUGCUAACGUCCGUCGUGAAGAGGGAAACAACCCAGACCGCCAGCUAAGGUCCCAAAGUCAUGGUUAAGUGGGAAACGAUGUGGGAAGGCCCAGACAGCCAGGAUGUUGGCUUAGAAGCAGCCAUCAUUUAAAGAAAGCGUAAUAGCUCACUGGUCGAGUCGGCCUGCGCGGAAGAUGUAACGGGGCUAAACCAUGCACCGAAGCUGCGGCAGCGAACGUAUCACUUAAAGCGAUUCAGCGGGUUACGAUUGACGGAGCGAAGCGACGUCAAAGCGUAUACAAAGUCGAGUCGGUUUAAGGAUACGUUC
Molecule: ribosomal RNA, 898 nt
Filed under: Salmonella enterica subsp. enterica serovar Newport
Lineage: Bacteria; Pseudomonadati; Pseudomonadota; Gammaproteobacteria; Enterobacterales; Enterobacteriaceae
Description: bacterial LSU rRNA
Rfam family: Bacterial large subunit ribosomal RNA
Source: RNAcentral